Non-coding RNA from Triticum aestivum (bread wheat), 195 nucleotides. The record is from Rfam. Lineage: Eukaryota; Viridiplantae; Streptophyta; Magnoliopsida; Poales; Poaceae.
GGUUUAGAGGUGGAGCUCCUAUCAUUCCAAUGAAGGGUCUACCGAAGGGUUUGUGCAGCUGCUUGUUCAUGGUUCCCACUAUCCUAUCUCCAUUAGAAUACGAGGAGAUAGGCUUGUGGUUUGCAUGACCGAGGAGCCGCUUCGAUCCCUCGCUGACCGCUGUUUGGAUUGAAGGGAGCUCUGCAUCUUGAUCUA